Molecule: non-coding RNA, 23 nt
Filed under: Arabidopsis thaliana (thale cress)
Lineage: Eukaryota; Viridiplantae; Streptophyta; Magnoliopsida; Brassicales; Brassicaceae
Source: RNAcentral
CCAAAAUCUCUACACAGUAACUA